GCUCCCAUGGCACAGUGGUCACUGCUCUCGCCUUGCACGCGGGAGACCCGGGUUCGAUCCCCGACGGGGUCA
RNAcentral lists this transfer RNA (72 nucleotides) under Diaphorina citri (Asian citrus psyllid). It matches the Rfam family "tRNA". Rfam says of the family: Transfer RNA (tRNA) molecules are approximately 80 nucleotides in length. Their secondary structure includes four short double-helical elements and three loops (D, anti-codon, and T loops). Lineage: Eukaryota; Metazoa; Arthropoda; Insecta; Hemiptera; Psyllidae. The record is from Rfam by way of RNAcentral.